RNAcentral lists this ribosomal RNA (519 nucleotides) under uncultured eukaryote. Its description in RNAcentral is "SSU rRNA". It matches the Rfam family "Eukaryotic small subunit ribosomal RNA", at positions 1172 to 1725 of the family's 1831-position model. The record is from RNAcentral.
AGGGCACCACCAGGAGUGGAGCCUGCGGCUUAAUUUGACUCAACACGGGAAAACUCACCCGGCCCGGACACCGUAAGGAUCGACAGAUUGAGAGCUCUUCCUUGAUUCGGUGGUUGGUGGUGCAUGGCCGUUCUUAGUUGGUGGAGCGAUUUGUCUGGUUUAUUCCGAUAACGAGCGAGACUCUAGCCUACUAAAUAGUGACCGGAUAGCUUGGUCCGGGUCACUUCUUAGARGGACAAGCGGUGUUCAGCCGCAAUAAGUUGAGCAAUAACAGGKCUGUGAUGCCCUUAGAUGUCCGGGGCUGCACGCSCGCUACACUGGAGGAAUCAGCGUGSUUGACCCAUUGCCGAAAGGCAUUGGUAAACCCUUGAAAAUCCUCCGUGAUCGGGAUCGGGAAUUGCAAUUAUUUCCCUUGAACGAGGAAUUCCCAGUAAGUGUGAGUCAUCAGCUCACGUUGAUUACGUCCCUGCCCUUUGUACACACCGCCCGUCGCUGCCCGGGACUGAGCCGUUUCGAGAA